This 1207-nucleotide ribosomal RNA is filed under the name Citricoccus sp. RNAcentral describes it as "bacterial SSU rRNA". It matches the Rfam family "Bacterial small subunit ribosomal RNA", at positions 142 to 1360 of the family's 1533-position model. The record is from RNAcentral. Lineage: Bacteria; Bacillati; Actinomycetota; Actinomycetes; Micrococcales; Micrococcaceae.
GAUAAGCCUGGGAAACCGGGUCUAAUACCGGAUGCGACCUCUCACCGCAUGGUGGGGGGUGGAAAGAUUUAUCGGUCUUGGAUGGACUCGCGGCCUAUCAGCUUGUUGGUGGGGUAAUGGCCCACCAAGGCGACGACGGGUAGCCGGCCUGAGAGGGUGACCGGCCACACUGGGACUGAGACACGGCCCAGACUCCUACGGGAGGCAGCAGUGGGGAAUAUUGCACAAUGGGCGCAAGCCUGAUGCAGCGACGCCGCGUGAGGGAUGACGGCCUUCGGGUUGUAAACCUCUUUCAGUAGGGAAGAAGCGAAAGUGACGGUACCUGCAGAAGAAGCGCCGGCUAACUACGUGCCAGCAGCCGCGGUAAUACGUAGGGCGCGAGCGUUAUCCGGAAUUAUUGGGCGUAAAGAGCUCGUAGGCGGUUUGUCGCGUCUGCCGUGAAAGUCCGGGGCUUAACCCCGGAUCUGCGGUGGGUACGGGCAGACUGGAGUGCAGUAGGGGAGACUGGAAUUCCUGGUGUAGCGGUGAAAUGCGCAGAUAUCAGGAGGAACACCGAUGGCGAAGGCAGGUCUCUGGGCUGUUACUGACGCUGAGGAGCGAAAGCAUGGGGAGCGAACAGGAUUAGAUACCCUGGUAGUCCAUGCCGUAAACGUUGGGCACUAGGUGUGGGGGCCAUUCCACGGUUUCCGCGCCGCAGCUAACGCAUUAAGUGCCCCGCCUGGGGAGUACGGCCGCAAGGCUAAAACUCAAAGGAAUUGACGGGGGCCCGCACAAGCGGCGGAGCAUGCGGAUUAAUUCGAUGCAACGCGAAGAACCUUACCAAGGCUUGACAUGUUCUCGACCGCCACAGAGAUGUGGUUUCCCCUUUGGGGCGGGUUCACAGGUGGUGCAUGGUUGUCGUCAGCUCGUGUCGUGAGAUGUUGGGUUAAGUCCCGCAACGAGCGCAACCCUCGUUCCAUGUUGCCAGCGGGUUAUGCCGGGGACUCAUGGGAGACUGCCGGGGUCAACUCGGAGGAAGGUGGGGACGACGUCAAAUCAUCAUGCCCCUUAUGUCUUGGGCUUCACGCAUGCUACAAUGGCCGGUACAAUGGGUUGCGAUACUGUGAGGUGGAGCUAAUCCCAAAAAGCCGGUCUCAGUUCGGAUUGGGGUCUGCAACUCGACCCCAUGAAGUCGGAGUCGCUAGUAAUCGCAGAUCAGCAACGCUGC